Molecule: long non-coding RNA, 508 nt
Organism: Nematostella vectensis (starlet sea anemone)
Lineage: Eukaryota; Metazoa; Cnidaria; Anthozoa; Actiniaria; Edwardsiidae
Exons: 3
Source: RefSeq, a predicted model, not a curated record
AAUGGGGGGGGGGGGGAUAUUUUCUGGAACUACACAAUUUCCAAAAAGGGGUGUAAUCGAAGACAAUGGUCCAGGAAGAAAACCUCCACGUUCGGUUUUGUCCGGUUUUGUCUGUACUAUUUUCUCUCUUGCAGGGGCGGUCACGUUUGCAUGCUCUUGCUGCCUGCUGAGGACGUGCUGUUCAAGUGCAGCACUGAGCAUUAUGGAUCUGAGAACAGGCGUCGUUCAUUUUGUUAUUACAAGAAAGGGGCGUCCUCUGAAUGGAUGGAAAUCGAUCCUUGCAUGGACACCCCAUGUGAAAACGGAGCCACGUGUGAGGCCAACAGCACUAACUCUUUCAUCUGUCACUGCCCCCCUGGGUGGGAGGGGAAUCUGUGCGAAAUAGGUAAGUUAGUCAUUCAUACAUUCAGGGGGAGGGGGGUGGAAGCAACAGCAAUGCCUGUACCACUUUAAUCUGUCACCUUAAAUCACCAUUAAUCUUAUUACCAUUGUAGUGGCAAUGAUGAUU